GCCGCAGCAAACGCAAUAAGUAUUCCACCUGGGGAGUACGUUUGCAAGAAAGAAACUCAAAGGAAUUGACGGGGACCCGCACAAGCGGUGGAGCAUGUGGUUUAAUUUGAAGCAACGCGAAGAACCUUACCAAGUCUUGACAUCCCGAUGACAAGCUAUGUAAUGUAGCCUCUCUUCGGAGCAUCGGUGACAGGUGGUGCAUGGUUGUUGUCAGCUCGUGUCGUGAGAUGUUGGGUUAAGUCCCGCAACGAGCGCAACCCCUGUCCUUAGUAGCCAGCGGUUCGGCCGGGCACUCUAGGGAGACUGCCAGGGAUAACCUGGAGGAAGGCGGGGAGGACGUCAAAUCAUCAUGCCCCCUAUGACUUGGGCUACACACGUGCUACAAUGGCGUAAACAAAGGGAAGCAAAGCCGUGAGGCCGAGCAAAUCUCAAAAAUAACGUCUCAGUUCGGACUGUAGUCUGCAACCCGCCUACACGAAGCUGGAAUCGCUAGUAAUCGCAGAUCAGAAUGCUGUGGUGAAUAAAAACCCGGGUCUUGCACUCCCCGCCCGUCAAGGGC
Molecule: ribosomal RNA, 559 nt
Filed under: uncultured bacterium
Lineage: Bacteria
Description: bacterial SSU rRNA
Rfam family: Bacterial small subunit ribosomal RNA
Source: RNAcentral